AUGGAUAUUUUUUGAGAACUGGUAAACGAUGAUACAAAAAUUAAUGAACUCGAAAUAUAAUUGAGGCGGAUUAAACGUGUAGGUUGUUCGAUAAGAACCGAGUGGAUGAAUUUGUAAUAGUCAGUUGUAUUAAAAUCGUCGCUCGCUCAACAUUAUUAUGCCGAUCGCAGAAAGGAUAACAAUUAAACUGUCCUAGGGAGCACGUUCAUGCAUUUAUAUCGACCGACGUUACAACAAAAAGUUAAAAGCUAAAGUUCUUAUGUAACUCCGGCUAAAGAUUACAAACAACGACCAUAACAAUCUGUUCCGAGUUCGUUUGCCUCUAGAUCUUGUAAGCCAAAACAAUCGUUAGGAUUUAAAGGCACGAUAAUGUGGGUCUCUCCCAGAUUCCAAUUUUUCCUUGACUUUUUCUACGCUUAUGUGCCGCUGCAAUAUAUAAGAUAUAAAUAAAAGGAAAAUAACAAUAGUAUACAAAUUAUUACCGAAAAGUUCGGGUACAUGUGGCAUAAUUACUUUGAUACAGUUCUGACCAUUUGUCUUAUGUUCUCUUGUUUUCAUAGGACAAAGUUUUGUAUCAUAACCAUAGAGAUAUACUGGUCAUAACUUUUCAGUUUGUUGUAGCAACGUGUCUUCCAUGACGAUUACAUUAAAAUAUUUGCAGGCAAACGGUUUAUAUAUAAACAUAUUGCUUAUGUUGUUUGAGCAGAGAUGAAAUGAUAUCGACGUAUUAGAAAAAUAUUCUUAUACUUGAAGAAAAUAGAUGAUAUGAUAAGCCUGGAAUGCAAAGGAGUUUCGUUCUUCCGCCAGACGUGCUUGCCAAAUAUUUGACUCAAAAUAUCAUUCUACAUAAAUAAUGUCAAAUAAGAAGAAGGACAGAACGCCAUUCCUGUCACAUGCGAGGCCAUAGCGGUCCAUCACCAUCAGCGAGCGCAAGAAAGACCAAAUCACCUAGCAUCCGCUCGCACUAGUUAUUUUGUCGCUAAGAAUGGCAAGCGAGAGGAUCGGGAAGUUGGAUCGUUCUGUUCGUCGAAACAAAAGGUUCCCUCGAUCGGGUAUAAGUUCCGAGGUAAACAUAAAUUUCACGCGUAGAAGCUCGAAGCUACGAUAUGCAAAGGGUUGAACGUGUCAUCCUAUCGAGUCCUCCUCGGAUUCCCUGUUUAACGACACCGUGACAGCUGAAGGGGCGAGCAACUGUAUGCGUAUAUACGUCUUUGUACGGCAUCGCGAUCCGUAAGAAGAAAAGAAGACGAAGAAGAAGCAGAAGAAGAAGAAGAAGAAGAAGAAGAAGGAGACGAUGGAGGCAGAACGAAGUUGAACGGGCAAGGGGAGACGGAGGAGAGCACGAGGAACGAGACAGAGGCCUGGGUAAGUUAUCACUCGAGUCUGGACCAGGAAUAGUCGCCAUGUGGUGGCAGCCGUGGGACUGACUAUUUUCGGGUAAAGACAAAUUUGGCGCGAUGCGCUACGAGGGAGCAAGCAAGCCUCGUGGUAGUCUCAAGUGUAAGCUUACAUGUGCCGGGGGGUGUCGGCCACGACAUGGAGAGGCCAAUGGGAUCUGUGCGGCCAUUUUUAGAGGGCUCGUUGAAGCAACCGUGCCCAAAGCUUUGGCAGCAUUCAGUCUGAAGCAGUCAACCAGUCAGGAGGAUUCGCUAGAAGUUCUUGACUCGAGCUGCUCUAACACUCGCGACCAGAGAAUAUCCUCGACCUCUCGAAGGACUCGGUCUGUCUCGUAAGUCCAACAUGGACGACGCUACCGGCCGGAAUCGUUCCGAUCCGCAAUCGAAUCGAACAGGAAGUGCGAGCAAUCAGGUAUCUCGCCGAUCUGUGAAACGUAUCGGUUUUCAGGAUCCAAUCCCGUGAACGCGCGGAUUUCGACCGUGUCGAAACCAGUGGAUUACGUAAUCGUCCGAUUAGAAGAUGAAACGCGCAUCGUCACGGCGACAGGAUCGUCCGGUCUUCGUCGUUGAGAAGUGGCCAAUUUUUGUCGAUCGAACGAUCGAUCGGCUUGAACCAACAGAACAACGAUUUUCUCGAACGAUUCUUUCGUUCGAACCGGGCGAUGCCGUUCCGUGCUUCCUUACUUCCCAUAGUGAAUGUGACGUAUGGAAUGUAAAGAAGUAUGGAGCUGCGCCCAGGUGUAUCAUCGAACCGGAAACACGCCGUGGGACCCGGUGUUCUCCGCGAGACAUGCUCAACAGCUGAUCAAACAGUUGACCACAUGUUUCUGCAGGCUGAAGACAGCAAGAUUUUAUUACGCCCGAUGAAAUCAUGGAAAACGACCGGUGUAUUCUGAUACGCUUUAGAAACGAUUUUUACCGACGAUUCUUGUUUCCAUAGAAAAUCAACGGGGAGCAGUCGAAAGUCUCGAGAGUGCGCGAUGCAACGUUACGCAAAGUUUCCACGUUUGGCGAGGUCAUCGUGAUGGAAAAAGAUAUUAAACAGCUAUAGCCCGGUACUGGUAUCUAGACGCCAGAAAUAGAGGCAGUUCCACGUAUACCGUAACGUGACUCGAGCAUCUUUCCAGGUCCAUGUGGCCUCUCCCGUGUUUUCUAUUUACGGUUCCGUCGUGACUACCAUGUGGUCGCCAGCUUUAUUUAAAUCGGCAAAAUAUUUCAAGGCGUUCCCAGGGCCCGUUUGUCUCCCCCGCCGAGCCACGAUUCAUAAACUAGAGAUUUUCUUCUUGCAGAUGACGACGAUGCACCGUUCGACCAGUAAAAACCGGGGAAAAAGUGCUCUGGUGUUCAGCUAAUCCUUUUUUUGUCUCGAUUCUGUGCAUCGUGUACCGACAGUAAACACCACUUAUAGCGUACAGAGAAGAAUGCACGACCAAGGAGGAUGGAAGGGGUGAAAACGGUAGAAAGGGAAGGGAGAGCCUGGAAGGAGAUGUUCGUCCGGUAGUGAAGUCAAAAAUAGGACGCAUGGUCACCAGCAUAUUUCCAUAAAUGAGUUCUCCGGUUACAGAGUCUAUUUGCGUUCUGGGCCGGCGACCGGAGUUGCAGCCAAUUACAAUCGGUUCCAGGACGAUUUACGAAUUCUGCGACAGAUCUGGGGAUCUAUUGUGCGCAGUAAUCCACGAAGUUUUUGAAACAAGAGAGUAAAACGCGCCUUCUUCCAUUCUUGCGGAGUAUAAUGAUUGCAAAGAUUGUGAUUACGAAAGAGGGGGUUAGAGAACAUGACGUCAGUGAGCUUCUGUGACGUAAUCGGACUUCGAUGUAUAUGUACUUAGGGAUUUGUAUUAAGUCAUGAGUAAUGCGAUUUUUCUGAGGGCAGGCUUUUAAACGACGAAGCUAGUUAUGAUCCUUUUGAUUGCGAGUUUUGUAAAAAGGAGAUAGAGAAGUGAUAAACAAUUUUAGCAGAUGGAUGGCAAUACGUUAUUAAUUAUUAUUGAUAGAUAGUCUAUUUAUUCUUAGCUAAUAUAUAUUUGCGUUAAAUAUAUGUAAUUAAUAAUUGAUACAUUUAAUAUUUGUCUCAAAGAAUUAUGUUGUUGUAUCGAACAAUACGAAUAUUUUAGACUCCUUUAAUUGUUAAUGCGAUAGGUUUGUAUUUAGAAAUGUUUUGUUAUAUAGGUAUUUUCUGUAUUUUAAGAAAUUAGGAAAUCAUCAAGUGUUUAUAUCUUUACGAACAACAGUAUUAUUAUAGCAAUAAUAAGUAUCUACGUUUUGUAAACGAAUAGAGAAAUGUUUAAUUUUAAAAUAGUAUACGGAUAUUUGUUAAUAUUUUAAUAAUUAGAUUAUAGAGACGCGUUUAAGGAUUUAACUGCUCUUCUCGCCUUUAUGUUUCCUGCACAUUCUUCAAAUUUUUAAGUAACAGCUAUAGAAGAUAUAUUAGUAGUAUCAGAUGGCGAAUAUAUCUGCAAAGGCGAUUGUUCUUACCAGAACUGUGAGAUUAUUUCUAUCUAUGUGAUGAGAUUACGAGCCAAAGAAUUUUAUUUAUUUUAAGCGUAUUUACCGACGAUAAACCGGCAGUAAACCGUCUUCUAUCGGAAGUUCUAUUAGUUUAGAAGAACCUUCUUCGUUCGACAUAAACUAAGUCCACACUGACACGUAAUUAUCCGCAUUAACAUUUCUGAUGAACGUGUCUGUCAGUGUGUAGUCUUGACUUUGUGACUCAAAACUGGAAGAAUUUGAACAUAAAGAUUUUAUCAAACGACAAAUUAGUUUAUGUUUAUCACUUUCGUAAUAACAAAAGUGUUAUAUGAUUAUUAUAGACCAAUAGCGUCUCGUAAUAUAUAAUUUGACUUUUCUGUGCAAACUUCGACUUUACGUUUUAAGAUGUUGAAGCUCAGAUGUCUCGGAUAUCCCUGUCUUACUAUAUUUUGUUGUAUCUGCUAACCAUCCAUUGACAUGACAACGCGAGCCUUUGUAACGAUCGCUAGUCGAUUUUAUCAGCUGGUUGUACACGUCUCGUCAAUAACACGACGAAACUAAAGCCAGGAACACGGAAAAUGGGACGAUAGACGAGGAAUAAAAGUGCGCUAAACGCUCGAUUUAUGAGGUUGAGACAGCACCGCUGGUAUGAAUGUUCACCCUAAUAAAUAACUGACAGUCUACGGAGCAGAAACCAUGGGGUUGGAGGUGGAUGUGAUCCCAGCUAUGCGUGGAAGCCUCGACUAUUCAGGAUGCAGGCACGGCCGGAUUUGCAUUGCCGUCAUUGUCGCGAUUUGAAUCGGUCGCUCGCUUGCUCGCUUGUUCGCUCGCGCAAGCGCCUAGAUCCUGUCGCGGCUUGCUUCCAUUGUGGCAAAUAAUUCUGCGGUGCCAUGGGAUUAACGAUUGCCUUGAAUGGGAAACGGACUGUAGCGGCCAAGGAACUGUGCUUGGGCUUUCGGCUAUUCUAUCGCCGUGUAAAAUAGCACGGGCUUUGCGGAAAGAGGUGUUCGACGAAGCUUCGUAAUACGAAUCGAAAUAUCGAAAUUUCUGUUGAAGAGACACCGUCGUUCGUAAAUAUGUACACAUUUUAUUCGAUUUAUGUCAAUGAUACACGAAUAUCGAUAAGGUAUAUAAAUUAAUGGCAAGCAAAUGGUCAGAAGCAAUUCUUACUGUUACCUUGUGGAGUCAACAGAUAGAAUGCAUCGCAUGAAAUAUUAAUUUUUUAUUUCGUAUCUUAUCAAUGAUAUAUUAAAAUUAAAUAUACACACGACAGUCGUCGAAGUGUUGUAUUAUUUUAAAUACCGUUGCUAGAAUUAUUCAGGGUAGCGCUUCUGUCAAUCUAAAAAAACCUUCUCUACUUUACUUAUACGUUGAUGGCUGACAAACGAGUUGAAGAUAACGAGCUGCUUGAAUGAUAAACAUAAUGUUUGACAUUUUGUAACCGCUAUAAACCUCGUCGAAAAGUUUACGACGGAUUAAUCAUAAAGCGAGAUUAAAAUGAAAAAAUCAACAAAAGUGUAUUUUUCCCCCGUGAUCUUCGUACAGGUACUUUUUCUUUCUUCUCGCUCGAUUUCAAUCCGUUUAUCUUUCGUUUCCCGUCACGGAAGAAGAGAAAAUUCAUUUCCGCUAGCCAGUCGACAGCAAAUUCCACAGCAAGUAAUAACUCAAUUAUUGACUCAUGACUUUAAACGAUUAGCGUUUGGUCGUGGAACACGUGCGUCGAAUUCCGCAGCCCGAAUACGCGUGCCGUUCGAUUUCGCAGACAAUUCGUUGGCUGGAAAGGGAGAGAACCAAGGGUGAAAAGGGAGACGAAACACGGAGGACCAGGUGAGCAGAGGCCAUAACGAGCCGGCAUUAAAUUUGUCCACGGAAAAUAGCUCUGUCCACACAGUGGCGGUAAUGUUCUUGAUUAAGCCGAAUGAAUUAUACUGAUAUUAUUCCCGUAAAAUAAUAAUAUUAGUCCUCGUAUUAUUGGCUGAUGUUGGCAUUUGCAUUAAUGGCCGUUUUCCUAAUUGACGGGUCGCCACGUUUUGUCUAUUUGUUGUACGCGUUACACCCGGUACCGAUUAUGUUACUAAGCUAUGUCAGUGUGGAAUGAGCAUUAUUCUGGUCUUUCAAAAGGAACGCAGAGAUC
Long non-coding RNA from Bombus pascuorum, 6000 nucleotides. RefSeq lists it as uncharacterized. The transcript has 4 exons. NCBI's taxonomy places the organism in Eukaryota, Metazoa, Arthropoda, Insecta, Hymenoptera, Apidae. The record is from RefSeq and is a predicted model, not a curated record.